UGCCGGCGACCGGCGACGGGUGCGUAACGCGUAUGUAACCUGGCCGUCACAGGUGGAUAACCGGAAGAAAUUCCGACUAAUACAGCAUAACACUCCUGAGGGACAUCCUUCGGGAGUCAAAGGAGGCAACUCCGGUGACGGAUGGGCAUGCGGCGCAUUAGGUAGUUGGUAGGGUAACGGCCUACCAAGCCGACGAUGCGUAGGGGUUCUGAGAGGAAGGUCCCCCACAUUGGAACUGAGACACGGUCCAAACUCCUACGGAAGGCAGCAG
RNAcentral lists this ribosomal RNA (271 nucleotides) under uncultured bacterium. Its description in RNAcentral is "partial 16S ribosomal RNA". It matches the Rfam family "Bacterial small subunit ribosomal RNA", at positions 86 to 354 of the family's 1533-position model. The record is from RNAcentral.